RNAcentral lists this ribosomal RNA (425 nucleotides) under uncultured bacterium. Its description in RNAcentral is "partial 16S ribosomal RNA". It matches the Rfam family "Bacterial small subunit ribosomal RNA", at positions 354 to 796 of the family's 1533-position model. The record is from RNAcentral.
GUGGGGAAUAUUGCACAAUGGGGGAAACCCUGAUGCAGCAACGCCGCGUGGAGGAUGACGCAUUUCGGUGUGUAAACUCCUUUUAUAAGGGAAGAUAAUGACGGUACCUUAUGAAUAAGCACCGGCUAACUCCGUGCCAGCAGCCGCGGUAAUACGGAGGGUGCAAGCGUUACUCGGAAUCACUGGGCGUAAAGGAUGCGUAGGCUGUAAUAUAAGUCAGAAGUGAAAUCCAACGGCUUAACCGUUGAACUGCUUUUGAAACUGUUUUACUAGAAUAUGGGAGAGGUAGAUGGAAUUGGUGGUGUAGGGGUAAAAUCCGUAGAUAUCACCAGGGAUACCGAUUGCGAAGGCGAUCUACUGGAACAUUAUUGACGCUGAGGCAUGAAAGCGUGGGGAGCAAACAGGAUUAGAAACCCAGGUAGUCC